RNAcentral lists this ribosomal RNA (253 nucleotides) under uncultured bacterium. RNAcentral describes it as "partial 16S ribosomal RNA". It matches the Rfam family "Bacterial small subunit ribosomal RNA", at positions 524 to 776 of the family's 1533-position model. The record is from RNAcentral.
UACGGGGGGAGCAAGCGUUGUUCGGAUUUACUGGGCGUAAAGGGCGCGUAGGCGGUCGUCUAAGUCACUUGUGAAAUCUCCGGGCUUAACCCGGAACGGUCAGCCGAUACUGCAGGGCUAGAGUGCAGAAGGGGCAACUGGAAUUCUCGGUGUAGCGGUGAAAUGCGUAGAUAUCGAGAGGAACACCUGCGGCGAAGGCGGGUUGCUGGGCUGACACUGACGCUGAGGCGCGAAAGCUAGGGGAGCGAACGGG